This 270-nucleotide ribosomal RNA is filed under the name uncultured bacterium. RNAcentral describes it as "partial 16S ribosomal RNA". It matches the Rfam family "Bacterial small subunit ribosomal RNA", at positions 524 to 776 of the family's 1533-position model. The record is from RNAcentral.
UACGGAGGGUGCGAGCGUUGUCCGGAAUCAUUGGGCGUAAAGGGCGCGUAGGUGGCCCGGUCAGUCCGUGGUGAAAGCGCGGGGCUCAACCCUGCGUCGGCCAUGGAUACUGCUGCGGCUGGAGCACUGUAGAGGCAGGCGGAAUUCCGGGUGUAGCGGUGGAAUGCGUAGAGAUCCGGAAGAACACCGGUGGCGAAGGCGGCCUGCUGGGCAGUAGCCGAAAGGCUUUCAAGCUGACACUGAGGCGCGACAGCGUGGGGAGCAAACAGG